Molecule: ribosomal RNA, 463 nt
Filed under: Physalaemus cuvieri (barker frog)
Lineage: Eukaryota; Metazoa; Chordata; Amphibia; Anura; Leptodactylidae
Description: partial 16S ribosomal RNA
Rfam family: Bacterial large subunit ribosomal RNA
Source: RNAcentral
GUGAAAAAUUUUAACGGCCGCGGUAUCCUAGCCGUGCGAAGGUAGCGUAAUCACUUGUUCUUUAAAUCAGGGCUAGUAUGAAUGCCACCACGAAGGUUAUGCUGUCUCCCCUUUUUAAUCAGUGAAACUAAUCCCCCCGUGAAGAAGCGGGGAUAAAUCUAUAAGACGAGAAGACCCUAUGGAGCUUUAGAAUACAUAACAAUUGCUAUCUAUUUAUUUACGGGAACUCAGAUUAUAUUCAUAUUGAUUACUAGUCUUAGGUUGGGGUGACCGCGGAGUAAAAUACACCCUCCAUGAUGAAAGAAUUUCUUAACCCAGAGUUACAACUCUAAGUACCAAAAAUUUGACAUAAAUUGACCCAAUAAUUUGAUCAACGAACCAAGUUACCCUAGGGAUAACAGCGCGAUCUACUUCAAGAGUCCCUAUCGACAAGUAGGUUUACGACCUCGAUGUUGGAUCAGGG